This 278-nucleotide ribosomal RNA is filed under the name uncultured Staphylococcus sp. RNAcentral's name for it is "partial 16S ribosomal RNA". It matches the Rfam family "Bacterial small subunit ribosomal RNA", at positions 83 to 356 of the family's 1533-position model. Lineage: Bacteria; Bacillati; Bacillota; Bacilli; Caryophanales; Staphylococcaceae. The record is from RNAcentral.
CCUUUGACGUUAGCGGCGGACGGGUGAGUAACACGUGGGUAACCUACCUAUAAGACUGGGAUAACUUCGGGAAACCGGAGCUAAUACCGGAUAAUAUUUCGAACCGCAUGGUUCGAUAGUGAAAGAUGGUUUUGCUAUCACUUAUAGAUGGACCCGCGCCGUAUUAGCUAGUUGGUAAGGUAACGGCUUACCAAGGCGACGAUACGUAGCCGACCUGAGAGGGUGAUCGGCCACACUGGAACUGAGACACGGUCCAGACUCUACGGGAGGCAGCAGUG